This 250-nucleotide ribosomal RNA is filed under the name uncultured prokaryote. RNAcentral's name for it is "partial 16S rRNA". It matches the Rfam family "Bacterial small subunit ribosomal RNA", at positions 525 to 775 of the family's 1533-position model. The record is from RNAcentral.
ACGUAGGGGGCAAGCGUUGUCCGGAAUUAUUGGGCGUAAAGGGUUCGCAGGCGGCCUUUUAAGUCAGAUGUGAAAGAUCACAGCUCAACUGUGGUAAGCAUUUGAAACUGAAAGGCUUGAGUUAAGGAGAGGAAAGUGGAAUUCCUAGUGUAGCGGUGAAAUGCGUAGAUAUUAGGAGGAAUACCAGUGGCGAAGGCGACUUUCUGGACUUAUACUGACGCUGAGGAACGAAAGCAUGGGGAGCAAACAG